Molecule: ribosomal RNA, 450 nt
Filed under: uncultured bacterium
Lineage: Bacteria
Description: partial 16S ribosomal RNA
Rfam family: Bacterial small subunit ribosomal RNA
Source: RNAcentral
GUGGGGAAUUUUGGACAAUGGGCGCAAGCCUGAUCCAGCAAUGCCGCGUGCAGGAAGAAGGCCUUCGGGUUGUAAACUGCUUUUGUACGGAACGAAACGGUCCUGGCUAAUAUCCGGGGCUAAUGACGGUACCGUAAGAAUAAGCACCGUCUAACUACGUGCCAGCAGCCGCGGUAAUACGUAGGGUGCGAGCGUUAAUCGGAAUUACUGGGCGUAAAGCGUGCGCAGGCGGUGCUGUAAGACAGGCGUGAAAUCCCCGGGCUCAACCUGGGAAUUGCGCUUGUGACUGCAGUGCUGGAGUGCGGCAGAGGGGGAUGGAAUUCCGCGUGUAGCAGUGAAAUGCGUAGAUAUGCGGAGGAACACCGAUGGCGAAGGCAAUCCCCUGGGCCUGCACUGACGCUCAUGCACGAAAGCGUGGGGAGCAAACAGGAUUAGAAACCCGGGUAGUCC